Molecule: non-coding RNA, 1189 nt
Organism: Paramuricea clavata
Lineage: Eukaryota; Metazoa; Cnidaria; Anthozoa; Malacalcyonacea; Plexauridae
Source: the annotation of a GenBank genome assembly
CAAUAAAUUAAUUAAAUAAAAGAUGAUUAUUUCUACAAAUAUUGCUUCAAAGUCUGGCAAUGACGUGCUGCCAUGCGACUGUGUCUAUUUUACAAGAAAACUUAAAUAUUAUAAUGAAUGAUGAUAAAUAGUGCAUGCUCACUAAGCCUCACUUGCCUCUAAGCCAAGGAGCUUUUGUAAGCUAAAAUAAGCCCAGGGUUGAAAGCUAUACCUAAAAUCCGUUUUCCAAAAACCGAAUUUAUUCCGAAUCGACUUUUCCUUUGUCGGAUUCCACGGGCGUUUUCUUCGACGAAAUGAGAAAAAUUUCGCGCGAAGAUAAGUUAGGAUUUCGCUUCACCAGAGAGUACAAGUCAGUUCUGCUCACUGGAAUCGCCCAUGUGUAGCCUGCUCGCAGUCCCCACCCGAAAAUUUGAAUUUCCGGUUCUCCUUUGAACGGAAUUUCGGGCUGUGAGCAGGCUACUCGUGCGCAACCAUCCGUAUUUCGCAGACACAAUAUCUCGCGAAGAAUUUCGCCGUCGUGGAAUCAGGCCUUAAGGAAAAAGUCGCUUCGCGCGAACAAAGGCGCCCAGUGGAAAACGGGCUUUAAUAAGCCACAGCUUUAUAAUAUUACAAAUUGACUGUUUAUACGAGUCGUUCGCGAUUAUUUAGCCAAGGCCUAUUUUCGGCCUAUAUUGCGCAUUGCAUUUUGCAUCCUAGACUACUGAUAUAGGACGGUUAAAACUCGAACUAUUGCGGUCUAUGUGCUGGUAGUUAUAGUCUCUCUAACGGACAUGCCGGGCAAUGGAGUUUAAAUCGAUCAAGUUGGAAAGGACGAUUAAAACCGUUAUCAUCCAAGUUAUUUUACAUUUUUAACCACAUCAUAUACACCUAAUUCAAUACACCCUUUCGAUUCUGCCAAUACUGUCUAGGCCUGGGAAACUUGCACCCAUGAACGAUGAGGAAAGGUGUUCACUAUUCAUGGAAACGAGGCUCUCGGGCCAAUGAGAGAUUUGCGACGUAAUAGACAACUUGCAUGUUAGACUAAUUUUUUAUCUAGGCAAAAAAGUAAAUCUCCGUAAAGAACUUAUUAAAAUUAGUAAAACUGCAAAAUUUGGUUAACGAAAUGUUGUAAAAUUGACGGAAAAUAUAUAGCCUUGUGAAGUUUGCAUAUUUUAUUAUGUUUGUAUUACGUGCGGAAAUUGUUACCAUU